This 28-nucleotide small RNA is filed under the name Bombyx mori (domestic silkworm). Its description in RNAcentral is "ovarian small RNA-34681". The record is from RNAcentral. Lineage: Eukaryota; Metazoa; Arthropoda; Insecta; Lepidoptera; Bombycidae.
UGGAUGUAUCAGGCGCUCGAGGCCUCAC